CCUACGGGAGGCAGCAGUGGGGAAUAUUGGACAAUGGGGGGAACCCUGAUCCAGCCAUGCCGCGUGUGUGAAGAAGGCCCUCGGGUUGUAAAGCACUUUCAGUGAGGAAGAACGCCUGGUGGUUAAUACCCAUCAGGAAAGACAUCACUCACAGAAGAAGCACCGGCUAACUCCGUGCCAGCAGCCGCGGUAAUACGGAGGGUGCGAGCGUUAAUCGGAAUUACUGGGCGUAAAGCGCGCGUAGGUGGCUUGAUAAGCCGGGUGUGAAAGCCCCGGGCUCAACCUGGGAACGGCAUCCGGAACUGUCAAGCUAGAGUGCAGGAGAGGAAGGUAGAAGUCCCGGUGUAGCGGUGAAAUGCGUAGAGAUCGGGAGGAAUACCAGUGGCGAAGGCGGCCUUCUGGACUGACACUGACACUGAGGUGCGAAAGCGUGGGUAGCAAACAGGAUUAGAUACCCGAGUAGUC
RNAcentral lists this ribosomal RNA (465 nucleotides) under Vreelandella stevensii. Its description in RNAcentral is "partial 16S ribosomal RNA". It matches the Rfam family "Bacterial small subunit ribosomal RNA", at positions 338 to 795 of the family's 1533-position model. Lineage: Bacteria; Pseudomonadati; Pseudomonadota; Gammaproteobacteria; Oceanospirillales; Halomonadaceae. The record is from RNAcentral.